Molecule: ribosomal RNA, 563 nt
Filed under: Streptomyces sp. 334A12
Lineage: Bacteria; Bacillati; Actinomycetota; Actinomycetes; Kitasatosporales; Streptomycetaceae
Description: bacterial SSU rRNA
Rfam family: Bacterial small subunit ribosomal RNA
Source: RNAcentral
UAGUGGCGAACGGGUGAGUAACACGUGGGCAAUCUGCCCUUCACUCUGGGACAAGCCCUGGAAACGGGGUCUAAUACCGGAUAACACCUGCCCGGGCAUCCGGGUGGGUUAAAAGCUCCGGCGGUGAAGGAUGAGCCCGCGGCCUAUCAGCUUGUUGGUGAGGUAGUGGCUCACCAAGGCGACGACGGGUAGCCGGCCUGAGAGGGCGACCGGCCACACUGGGACUGAGACACGGCCCAGACUCCUACGGGAGGCAGCAGUGGGGAAUAUUGCACAAUGGGCGAAAGCCUGAUGCAGCGACGCCGCGUGAGGGAUGACGGCCUUCGGGUUGUAAACCUCUUUCAGCAGGGAAGAAGCGAAAGUGACGGUACCUGCAGAAGAAGCGCCGGCUAACUACGUGCCAGCAGCCGCGGUAAUACGUAGGGCGCAAGCGUUGUCCGGAAUUAUUGGGCGUAAAGAGCUCGUAGGCGGCUUGUCACGUCGGGUGUGAAAGCCCGGGGCUUAACCCCGGGUCUGCAUUCGAUACGGNCUAGCUAGAGUGUGGUAGGGGAGAUCGNANUCCU